UACGGAGGGUGCGAGCGUUGUUCGGAAUCACUGGGCGUAAAGGGCGUGUAGGCGGUCCGCUAAGUCUGAUGUGAAAGCCCGGGGCUCACCCCCGGAAGGGCAUUGGAAACUGACGGACUCGAGUCCCGAAGAGGAGGGUGGAAUUCCUGGUGUAGCGGUGAAAUGCGUAGAUAUCAGGAGGAACACCGGUGGCGAAGGCGGCCCUCUGGACGGUGACUGACGCUGAGACGCGAAAGCGUGGGGGGCAAACAGG
RNAcentral lists this ribosomal RNA (253 nucleotides) under uncultured bacterium. RNAcentral describes it as "partial 16S ribosomal RNA". It matches the Rfam family "Bacterial small subunit ribosomal RNA", at positions 524 to 776 of the family's 1533-position model. The record is from RNAcentral.